This is a non-coding RNA of Caenorhabditis elegans, 69 nucleotides long. NCBI's taxonomy places the organism in Eukaryota, Metazoa, Nematoda, Chromadorea, Rhabditida, Rhabditidae. The record is from Ensembl.
CUCAUGAAAUGUUAAGCACAAAAUGUCAUUGGACAUCUCUCAAAGGGCACCACCACUUAUUCGAAUUGA